AGGGCCGCCCAUAGCACCGCCCGGCACUGGGGGCGGGGCUGGCUGAGCCUGCCGGGCUCCCGUCCGCCCCGCCUACCCCCCCUCUUGCCGGGAGCUGGCGGCGGAACCAGGCAGCGGCGGUCAGGAUGGCAGCGCCCAUCAUCCCCGAGAGCGGCAGCAUAAAAAAAGCAGUGUUGCUCAUUAACAUGAUAGACACAGGCAAAUUUCCUCGAUUGCUCUCCCGCAUCCUUCAAAAGCUUCAUCUAAAGGCUGAGAGCAGUUUCAGUGAAGAGGAGGAAGAAAAACUUCAAGCUGCGUUUUCAGUGGAGAAGCAAGAUCUUCAUUUAGUCCUUGAAACUAUAUCAUUUAUUUUGGAACAGGCAGUCUAUCAUAACCUGAAACCAGCUAUUCUGCAACAGCAGCUGGAGAGCAUUCACCUUGAUCAAGACAAAGCAGAAGCAUUUGUCAGUGCGUGGACUGCUGCAGGUCAAGAUACAAUUGAAAAGUUCAGGCAGAGGAUUUUGGCCCCUCAAAAGCUUGAGACAAUUGGAUGGCAGCUUAACCUUCAGAUGGCUCAGUCCACCCAAGCUAAACUGAAAUCUCCUCAAGCUGUAUUAGAACUUGGAAUGAGCAAUGAAGAUUCAAAGGGAGGAACGGGAAGUCCUGCUGUCUGAGCUGGUCCAUUGUUAUGGGCAUACAUGUAUGAGCAGUCCGGUAAAGUCUGUGGAAUACUAGUACUGUGCUUCGUCAACAAGAAACCUGUCUGGGUGCCUUCAUCCCUCAAUGGAUCUUGUGGUCAUUGGGUGGUUUGCUCGAGGUCUCCUGUGCCAGCUGUCAGCGCAGGGCUGGGGCGGCACACAGAGGGAACACACACAUGCAGCCAAACAUCUAACCACACUAAGAAGAGUAAAUUGUGCUUCCAGCUCCUUCAAAAAGAGGGCAAUUAAAACAGAAACCCCUUACUUUCAGAUGUUGGAGGAGUUCUCAUCAGGAGCAAACAGAAUGCAAAGCAGGCAACUGGCCUACCACAACACAUCUGUACCUAUUGCCGACGGAGCUGCAGUUCCAGGAUCAGACUCCUGAAUCAUCUCAGGACUCAUAUGUAAAUUUGUGGUAGUUCAUCCUUGAAUUGAGAGAUCGCUAAUGAAUGAAUGAUACAUGACAGUUAUUCUGUGACAUGGUGUAAGCAUGAUUUGUAAUAACUGUAAGACUUGUAUGACUUCUUGGUGUCUGCCAUUCUCACUUUAAAGGGAUUCACUCAUACUGUGCGUUGUAGGGUCCAUUAAUCUGUUAUCUCUCUGCUUGGUUUUAAUAAGAUGGGCCCUUUGGGAUUUGGAUUUUUAAAGUGUCUUUCUUUCAAAAAUAUUUUUAUUAUUCAUAAUUCUAAAAAUAAAAUAUGAAUUUCUUCCCUAGUAGAUUCUGGCUUGCAGUUGCGUUAAAUCUUUAAGAGCUGAUUCAUUAAUAUUUUAUCUACAGGAACAUAACUUCCUUUCUGUAAAGUGUGGCACAUUCUAGAUCCUCACUUGUGAUUGUCCGUCUUAUUAAGGGGUGAUGUGAUUGCUUUCCGUGAUGGAGUGUCCACCCCACACAAGCCCUGAGUGAGUUAAUGUGGGCCAGGAGGGGCUAACUAAUCGUAGAUGCUGCACCUGGAGCGGGGAACCAAGGAUUGAUAAGGCCUAAAAGCAGAUGAAAUCCAGUGGUGGGGAGGAGCUGGUAUAGGAGUAUAAAGCCAAGAAGUGAGAGCAUGAAAGGGGCUGCAGGGAGGAGGUCUGCAGUCACUGCCUAGAGGAAAAGGGAGUUGUCCAUGGACAAGUAGGAGAUCUGGGGGAAAGUAAGCCCUGGGGUCCGGUCCUGUCAUGGACCAGAGUCUUACAAGAGGCACAGAGGAGUAAAGUAGCCGUGGGGAACCGAGGAAGCUCUGAUGGUAAACCGACAGAUAGGUAAGGAGGUGGAAUAGGAAGGAACCCAGGGAAAUAGCAACAGGGUCUGAAACUGAGCUGAUCUAGGUUGCUAGCCAUAGGGUCCCUGGGCUGGAACCUGGAAUAGGAGGCAGGCCUGGGUUCCCCACCAGCUGCUGGGGAAAGUGGCACAGGACCUGAAGUUGAAAUGGAAGACUACCUGAAACGGCAUUCAGACAGCUAGUUCCAUGGAACUUUGUUACCCUGGAAGGGAAGGACUUUAUAGUGACCUGGCUGGAAGGCUGAGUCAUGAAGAGGGAGUACUGAGUCCUGGCAAGAGAGAGACAGGGGCUACAGCGCAAGCAAGCAAGCAAAGGAAGGUGGCACCCGACAGGGAAAGAGCUAAUUCCCAGACCUAGUUCCAAUUAGGUGCACCUGUAGUGAUUGGAACCGCUUCACACUUUUGUGUAGGCUAUUGUGAUGUAGUGCUGCUUCCAGUUGCCAUUCUUUAUAGUGGAUCUGGAGUGGGAUAUGACGAUGAAAUACUUUCUUCCUUCCACCUAAGAAGUCAGCAAUGGCCAUAUUUUCUUCCACCCAGUCCCCUUGUUAGGACAUGAUGCCAUGGUAUCAUGGCAUAGAUAACAGUCUCAUCUAGAACCUGUAUUGUGGGGAAAGGCAGCUGCUUGAGAUCCAGCUGUUGAGCUUCUCAUUACUCCAGUAGUAACCACUGCAGGUUUGGUUCGGAGCAGUCGGAGCUUUGUCUUGCAGCUUUCUACCCUGUCUCUAUGGCAGAAACAAGUGUUAGAAACAAGGACAGGAAGAGGAACAUUCAUAGUGAGUUUUUAUUCCUGUUUGUUUGUAUUCUGUAGCACUCACAAGGUGCUAGGUGCUGUCCAAAAUGUAUGUGAAAACACAGUCCCUGUCCCCAGUUAGUCUAAGAAGAUGAGCAACUUAUGAAAGGGGAGGGAUAAAAACAGUCUCCCAAAUUAGUGAUCCACCUCUAUAAUUAGUUCACUAGCUUCUUGUAGAUGUCACAGUAGAAAUAAGUUUCAAGGAAGGACUUCCAGGAGAACAGGGUAAUGGCCUACCUUGAACUCAAAGAGCCCCCCAUGUGUAUGGAGCCCCAUACAGUGGAAGAAGGCACAAAGUCAGUUGUGGGAGAGCAGACAAAACGGAAAUUAAGUCUACUAAAAAUUCACAGAAUUGGAAGUGUGGAAGGGGCGGGGAAAGUUGACUCUCAGACCCUAGUCUUUGCACAACUUUCUUGCUUUCUGGCUGCCUGCAAGAUUUUUUAAAAAAAAUCUUCUAUACCUUCUUCCCUUGUCUGCCACUAGGUUCUGCUUCUGCAGCUUCUGCAGGGUGGUCAGGAAAUACAAUCAGGAUCUGCAGAGAGUAUUUUCUGCCUUUUGGCUUUGAGUUGUGCUGAUGAGUCAAAUACCAACCCUUAAUGGUGUUCGUCAACAGCUCUUUGAUAGGCUCUGCUGGAUUCUGGGCUGUCUCCCCACCUAAACAGAACUAACAAAAUUGUUGUUAUGACGGAAAAGAAAUGUAAACAAACACAAAGAGCUGGGGAGGAGGACCCUGCCUACCUGAGCACAGAUGGUCUCCCAGGGGAAGGGUGAGCUAAAGAGUGGUAUUGUGAUUAGGAUGUUUAUUUUCUUUGUGAUCUGUACUCUGUAUUUCUUGUACUUAAGGAAAGAGCAAUAAUGUGUUAGACUUCCAUGUAAAGCACAUGUGUUUAUUAUGUGCUACACCAACCAUGCAACCCCCGAGAGAAUUAAAAUGUAACCUAGAAGGUGGGAUUUUGAUAGUGAGUGUGUUUAAGAUACUGGGGUAUCUUGUGGGUCAACACAGGUCCUGGGGGCAUAAGGUAGAAGGAUUGUGGGGCUCCAUUUCCAUGAAGAGGUAGCAGACAGAGUCAGGAUCCUGGAAAUAUGCCAGAGGUGCCAGGGAAGAAACAGUACUAUAGCUUUCUGAGACCCAGGGAAGCUUAGCAUACAUGAAAAGAAAAGGAGUACUUGUGGCACCUUAGAGACUAACAAAUUAUUUGAGCAUAAGCUUUCGUGAGCUACAGCUCACUUCGCUGGACUCUUUUGCAGCAGUCUAGUGGGCUACUUGUAAGGCAAGCCCAAGCAGAACUGUCUCCUCUCAGUUUGGCAUCUCAUGGACAGAUCAUAGCCUGUGGGUAGAGUCUGUAGAAAAGUAUAUUCACUAUUUUUUUUUUUUUUUUUGCCUUGUCUGUGAUCUGUAUCUAGCACCUUAGAGUUAUCGUCUGGGAACUGUGGCACUCCUGGUGAUUCAGUUUCUUUUAAAAGGCAGAUAGUUUUCUAACCAGUUGCAUGGGAGAGGGUAAGAUGUAUAAGAAAUGUAGCUUUCCUUUUCACUGGUAAGUAUGAAUGGUUGAGGGUGUUUUGUGCAUGUCAUUGUGCUAUUUAAAAAGAACUCUGCCUCUCAAGUUAAUGUUUCUGUGUAAAGCUACUGCAGGACCCUAUAGCUACCAGUUAACUUAUUUUUUAAGUAGAUUCAGACCCUGAUGUGACCCUCACUUCAUGAUGUCUGGGUUUUUUUUAGUCUUCAACUGCAGUGUAGAGUAGGAGUCCAACAUGACUCUCAUUAAUGAAUUAUAAAAUAUAGUACAUUUGGUUUCUUUUGCGUAAGUAUUCAAGUAAAGUAGAAAAGAUUCAUGCAGGAAAAUUGGCUGAAAACAUUGUUAACCAUCAUUAAAAAUAUUCCAUUAAAUGCAGCAUAGCCAUGUCCCCACUCGCCAUGUCAGCUUGGCCUGAAUAACUGUUGGCUUAUAACUGCCUCUUGCACAUCAGCUACCUUUUUGGACACUAUCCUUAAAGUGGGUCAUAUUGCUUGGAUAUUUUUUUUUCUUAAUAUUUAAGAGAGUACCAGCAAGACUUAGUUGGACAGAAGCCAACUAUUGUGGUGGACCUAGUUGUUCAGAUUUGUUUUUUGUACUUUUGAGGUUUAAUAAAUGUUGAAGUUGAGUGUUAUCCAUUUCCAUGAAAAUUUAGUUGUGUUGUCUGACACGACAAAAUCUGAACUGUACCACUUUGGACACAGUCAACUGCAUGCUGGGAGAUUUCCACUAAAUUCCUGAAAGGGUUAAAAUUGUGUGUGCUAUCUGCCUACGCAAAUUGAGACUGACAUGAUAAACUGCAAAACUCCAUUAAAAGUAUGUGUUUUUAUACCAUUA
Molecule: RNA transcript, 5079 nt
Organism: Chelonia mydas (Green sea turtle)
Lineage: Eukaryota; Metazoa; Chordata; Testudines; Cheloniidae
Gene: COMMD10
Gene name: COMM domain containing 10
Exons: 7
Source: RefSeq, a predicted model, not a curated record